This 424-nucleotide ribosomal RNA is filed under the name uncultured prokaryote. RNAcentral's name for it is "bacterial SSU rRNA". It matches the Rfam family "Bacterial small subunit ribosomal RNA", at positions 355 to 774 of the family's 1533-position model. The record is from RNAcentral.
UAAGGAAUAUUGGGCAAUGGACGCAAGUCUGACCCAGCCAUGCCGCGUGAAGGAUGAAGGCCCUAUGGGUUGUAAACUUCUUUUAUACGGGAAAAAAACCACCGGUCGUGUAUCGGUGCUGAUGGUACCGUAAGAAUAAGCAUCGGCUAACUCCGUGCCAGCAGCCGCGGGAAUACGGAGGAUGCAAGCGUUAUCCGGAUUCAUUGGGUUUAAAGGGUGCGCAGGCGGAUUAAUAAGUCAGUGGUGAAAUCCUACGGCUCAACUGUAGAACUGCCAGUGAUAUUGUUAGUCUUGAGUAUUGGUGAGGUAGGCGGAAUUCGUCAUGUAGCGGUGAAAUGCUUAGAUAUGACACAGAACACCAAUCGCGAAGGCAGCUUACCAAGCAAUAACUGACGCUCAUGCACGAAAGCGUGGGGAUCAAACA